Long non-coding RNA from Polyodon spathula (Mississippi paddlefish), 311 nucleotides. RefSeq lists it as uncharacterized. The transcript is spliced from 5 exons. The record is from RefSeq and is a predicted model, not a curated record. NCBI's taxonomy places the organism in Eukaryota, Metazoa, Chordata, Actinopteri, Acipenseriformes, Polyodontidae.
GGAGGAAUUACAAAAAACAGACCGCUUUUAUAAAAUUCAGAUUGCAUCUCAUGAAAAGAAAGCACAUGAAAACUGGCUUAAUGCACGAGCUGCUGAAAGGACUUUAGUGGAAGAGAAGAGAGAAACUUCAAACCUAAGACAAAAACUUGUUGAAGUUAAUGAUAAACUCAAAGAAAUCCAAAGAACUUCCCUAAUUAAAUCAACCCCUGGCCGCCCAGAUAGACAGAUCCCACCACCACAUAGAGGCACACUGAACCAUAACAACUGCUACGGCCCACCUCCUCUGAGUGGAGGUGACCCUUCACACCCAC